AUUGAACGCUGGCGGCAUGCUUUACACAUGCAAGUCGAACGGUAACAGGCCGCAAGGUGCUGACGAGUGGCGAACGGGUGAGUAAUGCAUCGGAACGUGCCCAGUCGUGGGGGAUAACGCAGCGAAAGCUGCGCUAAUACCGCAUACGAUCUAUGGAUGAAAGCGGGGGACCGUAAGGCCUCGCGCGAUUGGAGCGGCCGAUGUCAGAUUAGGUAGUUGGUGGGGUAAAGGCUCACCAAGCCAACGAUCUGUAGCUGGUCUGAGAGGACGACCAGCCACACUGGGACUGAGACACGGCCCAGACUCCUACGGGAGGCAGCAGUGGGGAAUUUUGGACAAUGGGCGCAAGCCUGAUCCAGCAAUGCCGCGUGCAGGAAGAAGGCCUCGGUUGGUAAC
This 396-nucleotide ribosomal RNA is filed under the name uncultured bacterium. Its description in RNAcentral is "bacterial SSU rRNA". It matches the Rfam family "Bacterial small subunit ribosomal RNA", at positions 29 to 430 of the family's 1533-position model. The record is from RNAcentral.